RNAcentral lists this ribosomal RNA (379 nucleotides) under uncultured cyanobacterium. RNAcentral's name for it is "bacterial SSU rRNA". It matches the Rfam family "Bacterial small subunit ribosomal RNA", at positions 376 to 770 of the family's 1533-position model. Lineage: Bacteria; Bacillati; Cyanobacteriota. The record is from RNAcentral.
CGAAAGCCUGACGGAGCAAUACCGCGUGAGGGAUGACGGCCUAUGGGUUGUAAACCUCUUUUCUCUGGGAAGAAGACCUGACGGUACCAGAGGAAUCAGCAUCGGCUAACUCCGUGCCAGCAGCCGCGGUAAGACGGAGGAUGCAAGCGUUAUCCGGAAUUAUUGGGCGUAAAGCGUCCGCAGGCGGCCAAUUAAGUCUGCUGUCAAAGCCUAGGGCUCAACCCUAGAUCGGCAGUGGAAACUGGUUGGCUAGAGUACGGUAGGGGUAGAGGGAAUUCCCAGUGUAGCGGUGAAAUGCGUAGAUAUUGGGAAGAACACCAGUGACGAAGGCGCUCUACUGGGCCGAAACUGACGCUGAGGGACGAAAGCUAGGGGAGCG